This 468-nucleotide ribosomal RNA is filed under the name uncultured bacterium. RNAcentral describes it as "partial 16S ribosomal RNA". It matches the Rfam family "Bacterial small subunit ribosomal RNA", at positions 28 to 507 of the family's 1533-position model. The record is from RNAcentral.
GACGAACGCUGGCGGCGUGCUUAACACAUGCAAGUCGAACGGAAAGGCCCUGCUUUUGUGGGGUGCUCGAGUGGCGAACGGGUGAGUAACACGUGAGUAACCUGCCCUUGACUUUGGGAUAACUUCAGGAAACUGGGGCUAAUACCGGAUAGGAGCUCCUGCUGCAUGGUGGGGGUUGGAAAGUUUCGGCGGUUGGGGAUGGACUCGCGGCUUAUGAGCUUGUUGGUGGGGUAGUGGCUUACCAAGGCUUUGACGGGUAGCCGGCCUGAGAGGGUGACCGGCCACAUUGGGACUGAGAUACGGCCCAGACGCCUACGGGAGGCAGCAGUGGGGAAUAUUGCACAAUGGGCGGAAGCCGGAUGCAGCAACGCCGCGUGCGGGAUGACGGCCUUCGGGUUGUAAACCGCUUUCGCCUGUGACGAAGCGUGAGUGACGGUAAUGGGUAAAGAAGCACCGGCUAACUACGUG